UUUCCUAGCACAUCCAUCAUCCGUAACACAAAUGAGAGGGCCCGAAGAUCAUUCAGAGUGCAGAGCACUAGUGAACACUCUGAGAACCUCCACAGACACCCACACUCUGGCACUUGGCAACAGAGAGUUAAUGUCCUGGGGCCAAGGCUGCCUCUCAGCAUGUUCAAAUGUGAAAUCAUAAUAAAGACACCGAGGGAUUUAGUCAUGAGCCCUCCCCUCCACCAUCAGAUGGAAUGGCAAAAAUGCAGAGUGCUGGGAGCCAGGACAAUUUCAUUUUCCUCCUAACCACGCAAAGAAUUUGCAUUUAAAAUGAGCAUCUCAUCAGCCUUCCAAGAAUGCUCAUCACUGGCUGCUAGCAUUAGCAAGAAUAAAAGCGAUCCCAUGCUACCCUACUUUCUCAUUAUUGCAACCAAAGUACCUGGCAGCCUUGCAGGCCACAGGACUCUGCUGGUUAGUCGAAUCUUAUAAGGCAGGUGCCAGGACAACACACCAAGUGUAAUCAGAUGAAUAAAAAGGAACACGGUGACAGCCCUGCCCUGGGGUCAGGCUUUACUUUCUCUACCAUGUCACAAGGGCAAGCGAAGCGGCAUCAGGAAACAAGAGAUGCAUAUGAAAACCAAAGUGGAAGCCGACAGGAGGGAGAACUUUGAAGUCAUCAUUUCUUCAGCAGCUAUUAGCUGCGUGACAACCAGCGCAGCGCAAACAUUGGGAGCCUUACCCGGACAGCGGCUGGCUGGGUGGUGGGGGCAAGUGUGAGGCCACCCAGCCAAGAAGGCAAUGGUGACGGACACUGGUAAGAUCUCUAAGUUAACAUCAGUGGUGCUUGGAAUCCCAUCUAAGAAGCAGAACCUAUUUUGUGUGUAGGUGUGUAUACGUGUUGGUGCACAUGCGGAUGCAUGUGCACAUCUGCCUGCAUCUGUGUAGCCGCCACAGGGAAACUGGAGUUCACCACUUUCCAAUUAUAUCCCAAGCUGUGUGGAUCAGCAAACCUUAAGAAUUGUGGUGUCACUAUGACGGCCUUCUGUCAUGUCCACUAGUCACAAGACAAAAGGAACAGAAGUGACAGAGGAUUGCAGAAGGAUUCACUGUUAAAUAGGCUGAGGACCUGAGGAUGACAGAGCCAUCCCAACCAUGCUCCACCCUAGAGUUAUUGCCUGCGGAGUCUCUCCACCUCCUACAGGCUGAGACAUCUCGUAAAUGGCACCAAAUAACACAACCUGGGCUGGGGAGAUGGCCCAGUGGGCAAAAUGCUUGCUGCUGCAAAUGUGAGGACCUGAAUUCGGAUUCCCAGUUGUGGUAGUUUGAAUGUAAUUGGCCCCAUUAGCAUUUUGCAUUAUGAUAUUAUUAAAAACUUACGGGGGACAGGGAGUAGAAUGUGAUUGGCCCCCGUAACUUUAUAGGAAGAGGCACUAUUAGGAGGCAUGGCUUUGUUGGAGCAGGUAUGGACUUGUUGGAGGAACUGUGUCACUUGUGGGGUGGGCUUUGAGGUUUCAUAAGAUACUCAAGAGACUGUCCAGUGUCACAAUUCACUUCCUGUUGCCUUCUGAUCAAGAUGUAGACAGCACCAUGUCUGCCUGAACACCACCAUGCUCCCCGCCAUGAUGAUAAUGGACUGAACCUUUGAAACUGUAAGCCAGCCUCAAUUAAAUGAUUUCCUUUAUAAGAGUUGCAGUGGUCAUGGUGUCUCUUCACAGCUAUAGAAACCCUAACUAAGACAGCAGUGUUUUAAAAAGUCUGGCUAAAUUGAUGAUCUCCAGGUUCGGUGAGACUCUGCCCCAGAAAAUACAGGUGGAGACUGAAGACACUAGACGUUGACCUUUAGCCUACACACACACACACACACACACACACACACACACACACACACACACACACACUCAUGCAUCUAUGCACAUACAAAACCCAAGAUACAACACAACCAACCAGGUCACUGUCUUCAACUCACAGUCCAUCUCUAGCUGAGAACUAUAAAUCAGAAAUACACCAAGCACCAGGCCCCCAACAUAAAUGAUUCAAAGCUCGCUACUUUUUUUUUAAAGGUGUAUUUUAUUUUUAAUUAUGUGUCUAUGGGCAUGUGUGGAGGGGGUAUGUGUAUGUGUGAGGGCGGGUGCCUGUGGAGUCCAGAAAAGGGCAUCAGACAGGCAGCUGUGAGUCACUGAUGUGAGUGCUGGGAACUGAACUCGAGUCCUCCGUGACAGGCCUCACUCUCAGCCACUGGGCCAUCUCCCCAGCCCUGCAAACUUGCUACUUUUAAUCCCAUGUUGAGAAGUCAGAGGAAGGCAGCAGAAUGACCUUGCCUGACACACAGCGUGAAGGGACACUGGGAAAAGGCCCGAGCACAAGAGCCAGCUUUGUCCCCAUAUCCGCCAUCACUGCAUAAGCUCUUACUGUGACCAAGAUGCCAGCAUGGUUGCAGAGAAGCAGCUGGCCCAUAAAGGCACCAUUGUUGACUCACACAGGCAAGAUUUCCACAUCCCAAGGCAGGGAAGCCAAGGCCAACAACACUAGGUAAGAAACAGUUGGACCGACCCGACUGUCACACCAACGCCACUGAGCGCAACUGCUUUUUCCACUUUCUGGCAAAGUCGCUUCCAAAACAUACCAAAUUUUCAAAGCAUGGCUAAUCACACAAGAGAGUUGAGUUGGGCUCUCAUGGGCCACACAAAAGAAAAACACAGCAGGAACCUGAUCAGGUGUCAACCACAAUGAAGAAGAGACUGCUGGAAGCCAAGCUGUGAAGGACAGAAAAGGUGACAUGGCCACCAUCCCUGUCAUCCUUCAUCUGCCAACACACUCACACACACACCACACCACACUCAUACACACACCACACUCACAACACACUCACACACAACACACACUCACACACAACAUACACACAACACACUCACACACAACACACACUCACAUACAACAUACACACAACACACUCACACAUACACACACACACACACACACACACACACACACACACACACACACACACACAACACACAUGAGCAAGCAUUCACCUAUACAUCCCUUCCCUUUGUCAGUCCCCUCAACAUAUCAGAGCUCUAUAGUCAGCAGGUGAAGAGAAACCCUAACACAUACCAGUCAAUUUCCAACCCCUUCUAAGCUCUUUACUGCUGUCCCAGAAGGAAUUCCUGGUCUUGGGACAAUGUUCUUCAAAGUCAGCAGAAGUCUGACCCCCAGGAAGAAGGGACCAGCUCUGCUAUAGCACCAAUAAUCCCGACCUUAAAGAAAUGAAAGCUGGACCAAGCGAGAAUCCUGGGCAGUUAAUAGUGUAUGGUGACCUGAGUUCAAUCCCAGAGACCCACAUUGAAAAACCCCAACAGAGUAGUGAGCACCUGUAAUCCCAGCGCUCCUACCAUAAGAAGGAAAGUGGAGACAAGAGAGUCACACACAAACUCACAGGCCAGCUAGCCUGAGUACAUACCACAGCUGAAACAAGAGAUCCUGCCUCAGUGGGGUGGGAGGAGAGAAGUGACUUCCAAAAAGAUGUCCUCUCACCUCCAGGUGCACACUGUGGCACACACGAAGACACACAAGAAUCUGCAAUUCAUCACCAGGAAAGCAAAUGCUGGUGAGGACAUGGACAAAAAAGGACCCUUAUACUGCAACUGGGAAUGUAAAUCAGUCCAGCCACCAUGGAAACCAGCAUGGAGGCUCCUCAAGAAAAAUAGAAUAUACCACAUGACUCAGAUACACCAAGCCUGGCUGUUCACCCAAAAGAUUUUAAGUCAAGACAUCACAGAGAUGCUUGCAAUCAAUGUUUGCUGCAGCAGUAUGCACAACAGCUAAUUUAAGGAACCAACCUAGGAGCUAGGUGAGGGUGGCACAGCCCUCCUUUAAUCCCAGCACUCUGGAGACAGAGACAGGUGGAUCUCUGUGAGUUUGAGGCCAGCCUGGUCUACAGAGUAAGUCCAGGACAGGCAGGGCUGUUACACAGAGAAACCCUGUACCAAACAAACAAACAAAAAAAGAACCUGUCUAGGUGUCUGUUUAGGGUGGUUUAAAUGUAACUGGCCCCCAUAAUCUCAUAGGGAGUGGCAUUAUUAGGAGGUGUGGCUUUGUUGGAGUUGGUAUGGCCUUGGUGGAAGAAGUGUGUCACAGUGGGGGUGGGCUUUGAGGUUUCCUAUGCUCAGGAUACUGCCCAGUGCCUCAGUCCAUCUCCUGUUGCCUGCAAGAUGUAGAACUCUCAGCUACUACUCUGGCACCAUGUCUGCCUGCAUGCCACCAUGCUCCCCAUCAUGAUGAUAAUGGACUGAACCUCUGAAACUGUAAGCUGCCACCUCAAUUAAAUGUUUCCAUCAUAAGAGUUGCUGUGGUCAUGAUGUCUCUUCACAGCAAUAGAAACCCUGACUCAAGACUGUGCUCAUCAAUAAAGAAAUGGAUAAAGAAAAAGCA
This is a long non-coding RNA of Peromyscus californicus insignis, 4410 nucleotides long. RefSeq lists it as uncharacterized. The record is from RefSeq and is a predicted model, not a curated record. NCBI's taxonomy places the organism in Eukaryota, Metazoa, Chordata, Mammalia, Rodentia, Cricetidae. The transcript has 2 exons.